RNAcentral lists this ribosomal RNA (2904 nucleotides) under Escherichia coli. Its description in RNAcentral is "23S ribosomal RNA". It matches the Rfam family "Bacterial large subunit ribosomal RNA". RNAcentral also lists the same sequence under 1 other name. Lineage: Bacteria; Pseudomonadati; Pseudomonadota; Gammaproteobacteria; Enterobacterales; Enterobacteriaceae. The record is from RNAcentral.
GGUUAAGCGACUAAGCGUACACGGUGGAUGCCCUGGCAGUCAGAGGCGAUGAAGGACGUGCUAAUCUGCGAUAAGCGUCGGUAAGGUGAUAUGAACCGUUAUAACCGGCGAUUUCCGAAUGGGGAAACCCAGUGUGAUUCGUCACACUAUCAUUAACUGAAUCCAUAGGUUAAUGAGGCGAACCGGGGGAACUGAAACAUCUAAGUACCCCGAGGAAAAGAAAUCAACCGAGAUUCCCCCAGUAGCGGCGAGCGAACGGGGAGCAGCCCAGAGCCUGAAUCAGUGUGUGUGUUAGUGGAAGCGUCUGGAAAGGCGCGCGAUACAGGGUGACAGCCCCGUACACAAAAAUGCACAUGCUGUGAGCUCGAUGAGUAGGGCGGGACACGUGGUAUCCUGUCUGAAUAUGGGGGGACCAUCCUCCAAGGCUAAAUACUCCUGACUGACCGAUAGUGAACCAGUACCGUGAGGGAAAGGCGAAAAGAACCCCGGCGAGGGGAGUGAAAAAGAACCUGAAACCGUGUACGUACAAGCAGUGGGAGCACGCUUAGGCGUGUGACUGCGUACCUUUUGUAUAAUGGGUCAGCGACUUAUAUUCUGUAGCAAGGUUAACCGAAUAGGGGAGCCGAAGGGAAACCGAGUCUUAACUGGGCGUUAAGUUGCAGGGUAUAGACCCGAAACCCGGUGAUCUAGCCAUGGGCAGGUUGAAGGUUGGGUAACACUAACUGGAGGACCGAACCGACUAAUGUUGAAAAAUUAGCGGAUGACUUGUGGCUGGGGGUGAAAGGCCAAUCAAACCGGGAGAUAGCUGGUUCUCCCCGAAAGCUAUUUAGGUAGCGCCUCGUGAAUUCAUCUCCGGGGGUAGAGCACUGUUUCGGCAAGGGGGUCAUCCCGACUUACCAACCCGAUGCAAACUGCGAAUACCGGAGAAUGUUAUCACGGGAGACACACGGCGGGUGCUAACGUCCGUCGUGAAGAGGGAAACAACCCAGACCGCCAGCUAAGGUCCCAAAGUCAUGGUUAAGUGGGAAACGAUGUGGGAAGGCCCAGACAGCCAGGAUGUUGGCUUAGAAGCAGCCAUCAUUUAAAGAAAGCGUAAUAGCUCACUGGUCGAGUCGGCCUGCGCGGAAGAUGUAACGGGGCUAAACCAUGCACCGAAGCUGCGGCAGCGACGCUUAUGCGUUGUUGGGUAGGGGAGCGUUCUGUAAGCCUGCGAAGGUGUGCUGUGAGGCAUGCUGGAGGUAUCAGAAGUGCGAAUGCUGACAUAAGUAACGAUAAAGCGGGUGAAAAGCCCGCUCGCCGGAAGACCAAGGGUUCCUGUCCAACGUUAAUCGGGGCAGGGUGAGUCGACCCCUAAGGCGAGGCCGAAAGGCGUAGUCGAUGGGAAACAGGUUAAUAUUCCUGUACUUGGUGUUACUGCGAAGGGGGGACGGAGAAGGCUAUGUUGGCCGGGCGACGGUUGUCCCGGUUUAAGCGUGUAGGCUGGUUUUCCAGGCAAAUCCGGAAAAUCAAGGCUGAGGCGUGAUGACGAGGCACUACGGUGCUGAAGCAACAAAUGCCCUGCUUCCAGGAAAAGCCUCUAAGCAUCAGGUAACAUCAAAUCGUACCCCAAACCGACACAGGUGGUCAGGUAGAGAAUACCAAGGCGCUUGAGAGAACUCGGGUGAAGGAACUAGGCAAAAUGGUGCCGUAACUUCGGGAGAAGGCACGCUGAUAUGUAGGUGAAGUCCCUCGCGGAUGGAGCUGAAAUCAGUCGAAGAUACCAGCUGGCUGCAACUGUUUAUUAAAAACACAGCACUGUGCAAACACGAAAGUGGACGUAUACGGUGUGACGCCUGCCCGGUGCCGGAAGGUUAAUUGAUGGGGUUAGCGCAAGCGAAGCUCUUGAUCGAAGCCCCGGUAAACGGCGGCCGUAACUAUAACGGUCCUAAGGUAGCGAAAUUCCUUGUCGGGUAAGUUCCGACCUGCACGAAUGGCGUAAUGAUGGCCAGGCUGUCUCCACCCGAGACUCAGUGAAAUUGAACUCGCUGUGAAGAUGCAGUGUACCCGCGGCAAGACGGAAAGACCCCGUGAACCUUUACUAUAGCUUGACACUGAACAUUGAGCCUUGAUGUGUAGGAUAGGUGGGAGGCUUUGAAGUGUGGACGCCAGUCUGCAUGGAGCCGACCUUGAAAUACCACCCUUUAAUGUUUGAUGUUCUAACGUUGACCCGUAAUCCGGGUUGCGGACAGUGUCUGGUGGGUAGUUUGACUGGGGCGGUCUCCUCCUAAAGAGUAACGGAGGAGCACGAAGGUUGGCUAAUCCUGGUCGGACAUCAGGAGGUUAGUGCAAUGGCAUAAGCCAGCUUGACUGCGAGCGUGACGGCGCGAGCAGGUGCGAAAGCAGGUCAUAGUGAUCCGGUGGUUCUGAAUGGAAGGGCCAUCGCUCAACGGAUAAAAGGUACUCCGGGGAUAACAGGCUGAUACCGCCCAAGAGUUCAUAUCGACGGCGGUGUUUGGCACCUCGAUGUCGGCUCAUCACAUCCUGGGGCUGAAGUAGGUCCCAAGGGUAUGGCUGUUCGCCAUUUAAAGUGGUACGCGAGCUGGGUUUAGAACGUCGUGAGACAGUUCGGUCCCUAUCUGCCGUGGGCGCUGGAGAACUGAGGGGGGCUGCUCCUAGUACGAGAGGACCGGAGUGGACGCAUCACUGGUGUUCGGGUUGUCAUGCCAAUGGCACUGCCCGGUAGCUAAAUGCGGAAGAGAUAAGUGCUGAAAGCAUCUAAGCACGAAACUUGCCCCGAGAUGAGUUCUCCCUGACUCCUUGAGAGUCCUGAAGGAACGUUGAAGACGACGACGUUGAUAGGCCGGGUGUGUAAGCGCAGCGAUGCGUUGAGCUAACCGGUACUAAUGAACCGUGAGGCUUAACCUU